This 503-nucleotide ribosomal RNA is filed under the name Gnaptorina artipenis. RNAcentral describes it as "Gnaptorina sp. 2 XML-2019 partial 16S ribosomal RNA". It matches the Rfam family "Archaeal large subunit ribosomal RNA", at positions 1901 to 2655 of the family's 2987-position model. Lineage: Eukaryota; Metazoa; Arthropoda; Insecta; Coleoptera; Tenebrionidae. The record is from RNAcentral.
AAAAACAUGUCUUUUUGUUUAUGAUUUAAGGUUUGACCUGCCCAAUGAUUUUUAUUUAAUGGCUGCAGUAUUUUGACUGUACAAAGGUAGCAUAAUCAUUAGUUUCUUAAUUGGAAGCUGGAAUGAAUGGUCUGAUGAAAAAUUUACUGUCUCAAUUUGAUUGUUUUAGAAUUUUAUUUUUAAGUGAAAAAGCUUAGAUUUAUUAAGAAGACGAGAAGACCCUAUAGAGUUUUACGUAUUUAGGAUUAUUUUUUUUAUGAUUUUAUUGUUUUUAAUUUUUUGUUACGUUUUGUUGGGGUGAUGCGAAAAUUUUUUUAACUUUUCUUAAUUUUAACACUAAUUAGUGAUUUAAUGAUCCUUUUUUAGAUUAUAAAAUUAAAUUACCUUAGGGAUAACAGCGUAAUUUUUUUUGAAAGCUCUUAUUGAUAAAAAAGUUUGCGACCUCGAUGUUGGAUUAAAGUUUAUUUUUGGUGUAGAAGCUAGUAAAUUAGGUCUGUUCGACC